RNAcentral lists this unclassified non-coding RNA (297 nucleotides) under uncultured fungus. RNAcentral's name for it is "partial contains 5.8S rRNA and ITS2". Lineage: Eukaryota; Fungi. The record is from RNAcentral.
AACGCAUAUUGCGCUCGAGGCUUCGGCCAAGAGCAUGUCUGCCUCAGCGUCGGCAUAUCUCCUCACUCCCACAACUUGUGGAAGUGGAACUGGCAGUCUUAGUAGCUUUUGUUACUAGGUCUGCUGAAGAGCAGAGGCUUGAACAUGGACCCAAUAAGGGUAACAACUAGGUAGGCAUGUCUUCGGACUGCAUGGAUCUUAGUUGGUGCCUGGGACGUGUUGGAGGCCAAGCAGGAUCCGAUUUAUCGGAACUUACUUUUCGACCUGAGCUCAGGCAAGGCUACCCGCUGAACUUAA